CAAAUUGAAGCUUUAUUAGUUAAGCAUUUCAUUUACACUGAAAAGAGUGUCGUGCAAUUCGAUUUAAUUUGA
This 72-nucleotide transfer RNA is filed under the name Nepsalus decorosus. RNAcentral describes it as "tRNA-Val". It matches the Rfam family "tRNA". Rfam says of the family: Transfer RNA (tRNA) molecules are approximately 80 nucleotides in length. Their secondary structure includes four short double-helical elements and three loops (D, anti-codon, and T loops). Further hydrogen bonds mediate the characteristic L-shaped molecular structure. tRNAs have two regions of fundamental functional importance: the anti-codon, which is responsible for specific mRNA codon recognition, and the 3' end, to which the tRNAs corresponding amino acid is attached (by aminoacyl-tRNA synthetases). tRNAs cope with the degeneracy of the genetic code in two manners: having more than one tRNA (with a specific anti-codon) for a particular amino acid; and 'wobble' base-pairing, i.e. permitting non-standard base-pairing at the 3rd anti-codon position. The record is from RNAcentral. RNAcentral also lists the same sequence under 1 other name. Lineage: Eukaryota; Metazoa; Arthropoda; Insecta; Neuroptera; Myrmeleontidae.